This 585-nucleotide ribosomal RNA is filed under the name Cladophialophora bantiana. Its description in RNAcentral is "eukaryotic LSU rRNA". It matches the Rfam family "Eukaryotic large subunit ribosomal RNA", at positions 51 to 652 of the family's 3401-position model. Lineage: Eukaryota; Fungi; Ascomycota; Eurotiomycetes; Chaetothyriales; Herpotrichiellaceae. The record is from RNAcentral.
CGGAGGAAAAGAAACCAACAGGGAUUGCCUCAGUAACGGCGAGUGAAGCGGCAACAGCUCAAAUUUGAAAUCUGGCCUCUUGGGGUCCGAGUUGUAAUUUGUAGAGGAUGUUUCGGGUACCGCCUCGGUUUAAAUUUCUUGGAACAGAAUGUCAGAGAGGGUGAGAAUCCCGUCUUGAACCGGUGGUAGGGCCUAUGUGAAACUCCUUCGACGAGUCGAGUUGUUUGGGAAUGCAGCUCCAAAUGGGUGGUAAAUUUCAUCUAAAGCUAAAUAUUGGCCAGAGACCGAUAGCGCACAAGUAGAGUGAUCGAAAGAUGAAAAGCACUUUGAAAAGAGAGUUAAACAGUAUGUGAAAUUGUUGAAAGGGAAGCGCUUACAACCAGACUUGAGCGCGGCGGUUCCCCCUUGCUUCUGCUUGGGUUACUCCGCCGUGUCCAGGCCAACAUCGGUUCUGGGGGUCGGUCAAAGGCCCUGGGAAUGUAUCUACCUACGGGUAGACUUAUAGACCAGGGUGUCAUGCGGCCUCCCGGGACCGAGGAACGCGCUCCGGCUCGGAUGUUGGCGUAAUGGUUGUCAGCGACCCGU